RNAcentral lists this long non-coding RNA (1125 nucleotides) under Callithrix jacchus (white-tufted-ear marmoset). Its description in RNAcentral is "lncRNA (ENSCJAG00000067234.2)". Lineage: Eukaryota; Metazoa; Chordata; Mammalia; Primates; Cebidae. The record is from RNAcentral.
AGAUCGCAUGGAUUAGUGUUUAAAAGUGCAUUACUUUUAUUUUAAAACCAUUGUGCUAAUGUAGCUCAGUCUAUCUAUAAUUGAAAGACGAUCCUUAUUCUUAGAUUUAAACAUUGGCCAGUGACCUUUCCAACUUUUGGAGAUUUCCAGAACAUAAAGAAAAGAAAGCUUAGUUUAAUUAAAUGCUGUAAGCCAGCACAGUUCCUUGUCUGCCUUAUUUGCUUAGCAUGUUUCUACAAUAGGUAAUGAUAAUUUUCCCCCAAUAACUGAGGUCAACAGCAGCAAAUUCCAGUGCCUCUGCAGCCAGGCAUAUGUAUAGGACCCUGUGACCUGAUCAAGGCCAAAGAAGUUUCCAGCCUCCUCAGAUCCUCACUGGUGCUCAGAUUUCUGUGAUUAUCAGUCACCUCUUCAUCCCAGCCCUGUUCUCUUCUGCCGUCCCUCUGACACAAGAACAGAAAAUGAAAUACCGCAUAUUCUCACUCAUAGCCAUUGUUCCACACCAGACAUUCUGUAUAUUAUGACUAUGCCAAAGAUCAUGAAGCAGGAAGAAUGAUGCCGACUCAUUGAUGCUUACCUUCAGUGAUAUAAGAGUUCGUUUAGAAAUGUGACACUACUGAAAAGAUACAUGUUUUCCCUCAUUAUGGUUGUAGAGUUUCGUUGCUGCUCCAAAGAAUGGUAGGUGCAAAAAGAGUUCUGGUAAAGGUGUAAAUAAUUUUGACACUUAUGUUAAUUAGUUGGUCAAGCACUAAAACUUAAGCAUUUACUUUUUAAAAGGUAACUUUUUUUUUGUUACUUUGAAGAAGAGCAUCCAUUUAUACUAACAGUAAGAAAACGAGAAAACAAUAAGAAAACAAGGUUUUCUCCAAGAGUGUUUUAGAAAUCUCUCUGAACCUUUAAUUGUGUUACAUUGACAUUUUUAAUAUUUUAAGACCCAAUCAAAUUAUAAAACUCUAAAUGGUAAACAUUUUACUUUGUGUAUAAAAGAAGCUUUAAUAAUCAACAAUAAAUUGGCUUAAGGUAUUCCAGAGACAGAAAAUUUGAGCAGAAGUAUUUCCUGUAGAGUAUAUGGUACAUUCUUGACCCUUCCACUCUGAUCAGCUUCAAUUAGAAAUAAAGGAAGAUGAU